RNAcentral lists this ribosomal RNA (370 nucleotides) under uncultured Glomeromycotina. RNAcentral describes it as "LSU rRNA". The record is from RNAcentral. Lineage: Eukaryota; Fungi; Glomeromycota.
UUGAAAGGGAAACGAUUGAAGUCAGUCGGACCUUCGGGAUCAGCCUUUCGGGGUGAUUCUGUGGAGUGUGAGGAGCUUAAAACCUUCAUGUUUUGCAUAUUCGUACUCUUGGGUGUACUUGCCCGUGUGGUUGGUUAACAUCAAUUUUGGUGGUCAUAAAAUGACUGGAGGAAUGUAGCUUCGAUCUUGUAUUGAAGUGUUAUAGCCUUCGGUAGAUGUGAUGAUCGAGAUUGAGGAUUGCAACGGAUACCCUUCGGGGCUACCUGUCUGGUCUCUGAUCGUUGCUCUGGUGCCGAAAGCUUGCUUACGGUUAUCAAAGUCGAUGGUCAAUAGGUUAGAAUGGGUUAAAUUCGUUAAGGAUGUUGACGUA